AUUGUGCACUGUGACUCCCAGAACAGUAAACACCUGCCAGCUUACAAGAUGGUCUCCAGAGCUGCGAUGAUGGUGGUGUUGGUGGUGGCCGCUGUCUUGGGGGCAGCCCUGGCCGGUCCCGUGGCAGCCCCGGUAGGCAACCCCGGAUUUCUUGGAGGCUACGGAGGAUAUGGUGGAUAUGGUGGCUAUGGUGGAUAUGGUGGGUAUGGAGGAUACGGUGGAUAUGGGGGCUACGGUGGAUAUGGCGGCUAUGGUGGCUUUGGACGCGGAUUCGGGUUCGGAUUUGGCCGCUGAAGUUAAAUUGUAUCAGAGAUGAGCUGUCAUAACUGCACGAUCUUUGUGAGCAACCGCAAUAGACACAGGUCCAUAUGAAUAAAAGAAACUGCAGGAGGCCUUUUGGACCAUACGAUGAGGCUCCUAUUUUAUCAACCCAGACUCAUUCAUAUAGUUUACCCGAUUUUACCCGAGUUUAUGUGUAAUCUGCUCUUUAAACAAACCUGCGAUCCGACCUUUGUUAUGUUGUUCCGUUAAUUUGUUCCAUAAAUUAACUACCCUAUUCCUAAACUAGUUUUUAACCUAUUUCUAAACCAUUAUUUGUUAAUAAAUACAUGAAUACA
Non-coding RNA from Procambarus clarkii (red swamp crayfish), 617 nucleotides. Lineage: Eukaryota; Metazoa; Arthropoda; Malacostraca; Decapoda; Cambaridae. The record is from RefSeq and is a predicted model, not a curated record.